ACGGGAGGCAGCAGUGGGGAAUAUUGCACAAUGGGCGAAAGCCUGAUGCAGCGACGCCGCGUGAGCGAAGAAGUAUUUCGGUAUGUAAAGCUCUAUCAGCAGGGAAGAUAAUGACGGUACCUGACUAAGAAGCACCGGCUAAAUACGUGCCAGCAGCCGCGGUAAUACGUAUGGUGCAAGCGUUAUCCGGAUUUACUGGGUGUAAAGGGAGCGUAGGCGGUCUUGCAAGUCUGAUGUGAAAACCCGGGGCUCAACUUCGGGAUUGCAUUGGAAACUGUAAGACUAGAGUGUCGGAGGGGUAAGUGGAAUUCCUAGUGUAGCGGUGAAAUGCGUAGAUAUUAGGAGGAACACCAGUGGCGAAGGCGGCUUACUGGACGAUUACUGACGCUGAGGCUCGAAAGCGUGGGGAGCAAACAGGAUUAGAUACCCUGGUA
Molecule: ribosomal RNA, 434 nt
Filed under: uncultured Pseudobutyrivibrio sp.
Lineage: Bacteria; Bacillati; Bacillota; Clostridia; Lachnospirales; Lachnospiraceae
Description: partial 16S ribosomal RNA
Rfam family: Bacterial small subunit ribosomal RNA
Source: RNAcentral